Molecule: ribosomal RNA, 425 nt
Filed under: uncultured bacterium
Lineage: Bacteria
Description: partial 16S ribosomal RNA
Rfam family: Bacterial small subunit ribosomal RNA
Source: RNAcentral
GUGGGGAAUAUUGGACAAUGGGCGCAAGCCUGAUCCAGCCAUGCCGCGUGAGUGAUGAAGGCCUUAGGGUUGUAAAGCUCUUUCAGUGGGGACGAUAAUGACGGUACCCACAGAAGAAGCCCCGGCUAACUCCGUGCCAGCAGCCGCGGUAAUACGGAGGGGGCUAGCGUUGUUCGGAAUUACUGGGCGUAAAGCGCGCGUAGGCGGCUUGACAAGUUGGAGGUGAAAGCCCGGAGCUCAACUUCGGAAUUGCCUUCAAGACUGUCUCGCUCGAGGCAGGGAGAGGAGAGCGGAAUACCCAGUGUAGAGGUGAAAUUCGUAGAUAUUGGGUGGAACACCGGUGGCGAAGGCGGCUCUCUGGCCCUGAUCUGACGCUAAGGCGCGAAAGCGUGGGGAGCAAACAGGAUUAGAUACCCGUGUAGUCC